RNAcentral lists this long non-coding RNA (276 nucleotides) under Chrysemys picta bellii (western painted turtle). Its description in RNAcentral is "lncRNA (ENSCPBG00000010392.1)". The record is from RNAcentral. Lineage: Eukaryota; Metazoa; Chordata; Testudines; Emydidae.
UACUGGUGUUUCCUAUUCAACUCAGUGAGUAAGCAAUGGAAAACAUGGUGGCAAAUGGUCAGGUCAAAGCUCUGCCCAGAUAGAUGCCUAUAUUACUGAGAUAUGUGAGGGGACAGCUGGGGCAGUGGAGACUUCCUGCAGAGGCUGCAGCAGCACUAAGAUAUCUGGAGGACCUAAGGACAUGUAGCUCUCUAAAGACACACAGUCAUCUUUAAACACCAAGUUAAACUCUUUAAUGAUUGUUCAUUGGAAAUAAAUACUUGAUAUGAUGACUCA